RNAcentral lists this ribosomal RNA (466 nucleotides) under uncultured bacterium. RNAcentral describes it as "partial 16S ribosomal RNA". It matches the Rfam family "Bacterial small subunit ribosomal RNA", at positions 28 to 507 of the family's 1533-position model. The record is from RNAcentral.
GAUGAACGCUGGCGGCGUGCUUAACACAUGCAAGUCGAACGGAAAGGCUCCUCCUUGCCGUGGUACUCGAGUGGCGAACGGGUGAGUAACACGUGGGUGAUCUUCCCUGCACUUCGUGAUAAGCCUGGGAAACUGGUUCUAAUACCGGAUAUGACGAUGGUUUGGAUGCCAUUGUGGAAAGCUUUUUCGGUGUGGGAUGAGCUCGCGGCCUAUCAGCUUGUUUGUGGGGUAAUGGCCUACCAAGGCGUCGACGGGUAGCCGGCCUGAGAGGGUGUACGGCCACAUUGGGACUGAGAGACGGCGCAGACUCCUACGGGAGGCAGAAGUGGGGAAUAUUGCACAAUGGGCGCAAGCCUGAUGCAGAGACGCCGCGUGGGGGAUGACGGCUUACGGGUUGUAAACUCCUUUCGCUAGGGACGAAGCGGAAGUGACGGUACCUGGAGAAGAAGCACCGGCUAACUACGUG